GGGAAGGCAAGCGAAAAGAGAUAUAGAGGCACAGAGAGGGCAGAAGAGAAGAGGGAGACAGGAAAAGUCCUGUCUUCCCCAAUGGAACAGCGGGAAAGAGAUUACAAGCUUUUUAUAACAGAGAGAUAGGCCAGCUGCUGGUUCCACCCCAUUUCCACCAAGAAGACUGAUGGGCACUGAAGAAGCUUCAUCUUGAGUCAAUGACAACACUAGUCACUGAGCAACCCUGCCCUUCACCUCAACUGCUACAAAGUAUUCCAGACUGUGGACAAGAGGACAGUGGAAUCGACUUUCCCUGUGUUGCUUGGGCCAACGGAUUCUUGUAAGUUCCAGUGAGCGGAAUUGGAUCCAAACAAACAGGUCUAAGAGGCGCCAGGGAGUUCUGCACAGCCUGGACUGCAAUGAAACAACCAGCUACACCAGGACUUGGCAGCACCCUAACCUUCUCAGGUCCCCCAAAGAUGGUCAACGACCCCCACAUCAGCAGGAAGCAGUCUUGAGAAUUCGAUGUCCAUCCUUAUUCCUUAACCUGCUAUGUCUAAUACCCCACCUUUUUAAAUAAUAAGUAGAGGUGGGAAUGAAAGGUUCAGGCUUUAAUGCUGAUCGGCAAUAUCUCUUUAAGAGACAGACCCUGCCCCCUGACAACAGUCAGGGCACGCACAGGGACGUGCCAUCACCAAGUCACCCACUAUGCAUUACAGCCUGUGUGAGGACUCUGGGCAUUCGUGGAACCUCAGUGAGCAUGCUCAGUCUUCCCUUUAAAAGUUCCAACAUCCCUGCUGCUCUCUCUCUCUCUCUCUCUCUCUCUCUCAUCUCUCUCUCUCUCUACUUCACUCUCUCUUCUCCCACCCACGUGCUCUCUCUGCCUCUCUAUGGCAUCUGGCCAUGGUGGUCAGUCAUUACCCCUGUUCCUCUUCUCUCUUAGUCUCCCUACUCUGCCGGGCCCAUAUAACAUACUAGUCAAUAUGUCUCAUCUUGCGUCCUCCUCUUUUUCUUCAAAAACAUAACACUGGGAAUGUAUGCAUGCGCCACCAUGCCCAGAGUUCUUCUAAUAGUUGCUACCUACACUGGUCCUGGUGGGCCCUAGUACCCAACACCUACAGACUCCUAUUUAAGUAUAACUAAGUAACCGUUGGCUAAUGUUUCCUAAAUAAUUUUAUUUAAAAAAAACGGCAUGCUAAAAUAUGAAUCUAAAAAAUUAACUAUAUUUAUCAAAGGAAUGC
Molecule: long non-coding RNA, 1223 nt
Filed under: Cricetulus griseus (Chinese hamster)
Lineage: Eukaryota; Metazoa; Chordata; Mammalia; Rodentia; Cricetidae
Description: lncRNA (ENSCGRG00015035274.1)
Source: RNAcentral